This 72-nucleotide transfer RNA is filed under the name Secundilactobacillus collinoides. Its description in RNAcentral is "Lactobacillus collinoides tRNA-Asn". It matches the Rfam family "tRNA". From Rfam's summary of the family: Transfer RNA (tRNA) molecules are approximately 80 nucleotides in length. Their secondary structure includes four short double-helical elements and three loops (D, anti-codon, and T loops). The record is from RNAcentral. RNAcentral also lists the same sequence under 1 other name. Lineage: Bacteria; Bacillati; Bacillota; Bacilli; Lactobacillales; Lactobacillaceae.
UGCCCCGUAGUUCAGUGGUAGAAUAACUGACUGUUAAUCAGGAGGUCGCUGGUUCGAACCCAGCCGGGGCAG